GAGUCUGGCAUGGAUUUUGGAGCACUAGUUGCUGCCCAUGAAACUGCUAUGGGACUUGUAGAAGAAGCUGGAGCCACAAUACCUGGUGAAAAUUCUCCCAAGCCACCAAAGUCUCCUCAUGCCCCCUCCAACGUUGAGGAAGCCAAUGGUGAAAACAAAUAUCUAGAUCAACACAAGUCAGUCAAGGGAACCUCAAAGCUCAUUGAAGAAGAAGAAAGAGAAACUGGUAAAGUGGGCCUGCAUGUGUAUAAACAAUACUGCACUGCAGCUUUUGGAUGGUGGGGUGUUAUAGCGGCAUUGUUAUUGUCAAUAAUAUGGCAAGUAUCUCUAAUGGCUGGUGAUUAUUGGUUGGCAUAUGAAACUUCAGAAGAACGGUCUGCUGUUUUUGACCCUUCUAUGUUCAUUACUGUCUAUGCAAUUAUUGCGGCUAUUUCGGUGGUGCUGUUAACGAUGAGAGCAUUUUUCAUUACAAUCAUGGGGCUUAAGACAGCUCAAAUUUUCUUUUGGGGUAUUCUUAACAGCAUCUUGCAUGCACC
RNAcentral lists this unclassified non-coding RNA (536 nucleotides) under Hevea brasiliensis (rubber tree). Lineage: Eukaryota; Viridiplantae; Streptophyta; Magnoliopsida; Malpighiales; Euphorbiaceae. The record is from RNAcentral.